CAUGCAGUCGAGCGGUAGCACAGAGAGCUUGCUCUCGGGUGACGAGCGGCGGACGGGUGAGUAAUGUCUGGGAAACUGCCUGAUGGAGGGGGAUAACUACUGGAAACGGUAGCUAAUACCGCAUAAUGUCGCAAGACCAAAGUGGGGGACCUUCGGGCCUCAUGCCAUCAGAUGUGCCCAGAUGGGAUUAGCUAGUAGGUGGGGUAACGGCUCACCUAGGCGACGAUCCCUAGCUGGUCUGAGAGGAUGACCAGCCACACUGGAACUGAGACACGGUCCAGACUCCUACGGGAGGCAGCAGUGGGGAAUAUUGCACAAUGGGCGCAAGCCUGAUGCAGCCAUGCCGCGUGUGUGAAGAAGGCCUUCGGGUUGUAAACACUUUCAGCGGGGAGGAAGGCGUUAAGGUUAAUAACCUUGUCGAUUGACGUUACCCGCAGAAGAAGCACCGGCUAACUCCGUGCCAGCAGCCGCGGUAAUACGGAGGGUGCAAGCGUUAAUCGGAAUUACUGGGCGUAAAGCGCACGCAGGCGGUCUGUCAAGUCGGAUGUGAAAUCCCCGGGCUCAACCUGGGAACUGCAUUCGAAACUGGCAGGCUAGAGUCUUGUAGAGGGGGGUAGAAUUCCAGGUGUAGCGGUGAAAUGCGUAGAGAUCUGGAGGAAUACCGGUGGCGAAGGCGGCCCCCUGGACAAAGACUGACGCUCAGGUGCGAAAGCGUGGGGAGCAAACAGGAUUAGAUACCCUGGUAGUCCACGCCGUAAACGAUGUCGAUUUGGAGGUUGUGCCCUUGAGGCGUGCUUCCGGAGCUAACGCGUUAAAUCGACCGCCUGGGGAGUACGGCCGCAAGGUUAAAACUCAAAUGAAUUGACGGGGGCCCGCACAAGCGGUGGAGCAUGUGGUUUAAUUCGAUGCAACGCGAAGAACCUUACCUGGUCUUGACAUCCACAGAACUUUCCAGAGAUGGAUUGGUGCCUUCGGGAACUGUGAGACAGGUGCUGCAUGGCUGUCGUCAGCUCGUGUUGUGAAAUGUUGGGUUAAGUCCCGCAACGAGCGCAACCCUUAUCCUUUGUUGCCAGCGGUUCGGCCGGGAACUCAAAGGAGACUGCCAGUGAUAAACUGGAGGAAGGUGGGGAUGACGUCAAGUCAUCAUGGCCCUUACGACCAGGGCUACACACGUGCUACAAUGGCAUAUACAAAGAGAAGCGACCUCGCGAGAGCAAGCGGACCUCAUAAAGUAUGUCGUAGUCCGGAUUGGAGUCUGCAACUCGACUCCAUGAAGUCGGAAUCGCUAGUAAUCGUAGAUCAGAAUGCUACGGUGAAUACGUUCCCGGGCCUUGUACACACCGCCCGUCACACCAUGGGAGUGGGUUGCAAAAGAAGUAGGUAGCUUAACCUUCGGGAGGGCGCUUACCACUUUGUGAUUCAUGAC
Molecule: ribosomal RNA, 1426 nt
Filed under: Klebsiella pneumoniae
Lineage: Bacteria; Pseudomonadati; Pseudomonadota; Gammaproteobacteria; Enterobacterales; Enterobacteriaceae
Description: bacterial SSU rRNA
Rfam family: Bacterial small subunit ribosomal RNA
Source: RNAcentral